CCUACGGGCGGCAGCAGUGGGGAAUAUUGCACAAUGGGCGCAAGCCUGAUGCAGCCAUGCCGCGUGUGUGAAGAAGGCCUUCGGGUUGUAAAGCACUUUCAGCGGGGAGGAGGGCGGUGAGGUUAAUAACCUCAUCGAUUGACGUUACCCGCAGAAGAAGCACCGGCUAACUCCGUGCCAGCAGCCGCGGUAAUACGGAGGGUGCAAGCGUUAAUCGGAAUUACUGGGCGUAAAGCGCACGCAGGCGGUCUGUCAAGUCGGAUGUGAAAUCCCCGGGCUCAACCUGGGAACUGCAUUCGAAACUGGCAGGCUAGAGUCUUGUAGAGGGGGGUAGAAUUCCAGGUGUAGCGGUGAAAUGCGUAGAGAUCUGGAGGAAUACCGGUGGCGAAGGCGGCCCCCUGGACAAAGACUGACGCUCAGGUGCGAAAGCGUGGGGAGCAAACAGGAUUAGAUACCCUAGUAGUC
This 465-nucleotide ribosomal RNA is filed under the name uncultured Klebsiella sp. Its description in RNAcentral is "bacterial SSU rRNA". It matches the Rfam family "Bacterial small subunit ribosomal RNA", at positions 338 to 795 of the family's 1533-position model. Lineage: Bacteria; Pseudomonadati; Pseudomonadota; Gammaproteobacteria; Enterobacterales; Enterobacteriaceae. The record is from RNAcentral.